ACAAAAGUCUGACUCAAACGUCGACUAUCAAAAACGUCAGAAUCCGGGGUAUAGGAAGGCUGGUCAGGUGGUGGUGGUGGUGGUGGGGUAUAGGAAGGCUGGUCAGGUGGUGGUGGUGGUGGUGGUGGUGGGGUAUAGGAAGGCAGGUCAGGUGGUGGUGGUGGUGGGGUAUAGGAAGGCAGGUCAGGUGGUGGUGGUGGGGUAUAGGAAGGCUGGUCAGGGGGUGGUGGUGGGGUAUAGGAAGGCAGGUCAGGUGGUGGUGGUGUAUAGGAAGGCUGGUCAGGUGGUGGUGGUGGUGGGGUAUAGGAAGGCAGGUCAGGUGGUGGUGGUGGUGGUGGUGGUGGGGUAUAGGAAGGCAGGUCAGGUGGUGGUGGUGGUAGGGUAUAGGAAGGCAGGUCAGGUGGUGGUGGUGGUGGGGUAUAGGAAGGCAGGUCAGGUGGUGGUGGUGGGUAUCUUCAUCAAGCAACGGUGUAAAAGAUGUUUUAAGGCUGCUCAUAAUAGGCCUAUAGGAGAGAGGUAUUUUCCGACAUUGUGAUAUAAUGUGGGGGUUUAGGAAGCCAUGGUGCUUUGAAACGUUCUACUUUAGCCCCGCCUUUUUAUUGCUGCAUAGA
Molecule: long non-coding RNA, 611 nt
Organism: Esox lucius (northern pike)
Lineage: Eukaryota; Metazoa; Chordata; Actinopteri; Esociformes; Esocidae
Source: Ensembl